This 465-nucleotide ribosomal RNA is filed under the name uncultured bacterium. RNAcentral's name for it is "partial 16S ribosomal RNA". It matches the Rfam family "Bacterial small subunit ribosomal RNA", at positions 28 to 507 of the family's 1533-position model. The record is from RNAcentral.
GAUGAACGCUGGCGGCGUGCUUAACACAUGCAAGUCGAACGGAAAGGCCCCUGCUUGCAGGGGUACUCGAGUGGCGAACGGGUGAGUAACACGAGGGUGACCUGCCCUGCACUUCGGGAUAAUCCUGGGAAACUGGGGCUAAUACCGGAUAGGACGAUGGCUUGGAUGCCAUUGUGGAAAGUUUUUCGGUGUGGGAUGAGCUCGCGGCCUAUCAGCUUGUUGGUGGUGUAAUGGCCUACCAAGGCGUCGACGGGUAGCCGGCCUGCGAGGGUGUACGGCGACAUUGGGACUGCGAUACGGCGCAGAAUCCUACGGGAGGCAGCCGUGGGGAAUGUUGCACAAUGGGCGCAAGCCUGAUGCAGCGACGACGGGUGGGGGAUGACGGCCUUCGGGUUGUAAACUCCUUUCGCUAGGGACGAAGCGCAAGUGACGGUACCUGGAGAAGAAGCACCGGCUAACUACGUG